RNAcentral lists this ribosomal RNA (733 nucleotides) under uncultured bacterium. Its description in RNAcentral is "bacterial SSU rRNA". It matches the Rfam family "Bacterial small subunit ribosomal RNA", at positions 100 to 871 of the family's 1533-position model. The record is from RNAcentral.
AGACGGGAGAGUAUCCCUGGGAUCCUUCCUAGAGGUGCGGAAGACUCGGGGAAACUUGAGCUAUUCCCGUAUACGCUCUUGCGAGGAARGAUUCAUCGUCUUUAGACGGGCCCGCGUCGGAUUAGCUAGUUGGUGGGGUAACGGCCUACCAAGGCGACGAUCCGUAGCUGAUCUGAGAGGAUGAUCAGCCACACUGGGACUGAGACACGGCCCAGACUCCUACGGGAGGCAGCAGUGGGGAAUCUUGGACAAUGGGCGCAAGCCUGAUCCAGCCAUGCCGCGUGAGUGAAGAAGGCCUUCGGGUUGUAAAGCUCUUUUGCCAGGGACGAUAAUGACGGUACCUGGAGAAUAAGCCCCGGCAAACUUCGUGCCAGCAGCCGCGGUAAUACGAAGGGGGCUAGCGUUGUUCGGAAUUACUGGGCGUAAAGCGCACGUAGGCUGACAGUUAAGUGAGGGGUGAAAUCCCGAGGCUCAACCUCGGAACUGCCUUUCAUACUGGCUGUCUCGAGUCCGGAAGAGGUUAGUGGAAUUCCUAGUGUAGAGGUGARAUUCGUAGAUAUUACGAAGAACACCAGUGGCGAARGCGGCUAACUGGUCCGGUACUGACGCUGAGGUGCGAAAGCGUGURGAGCRAACASGAUUAGAUACCCUGSUAGUCCACGCCGUAMACUAUGGGUGCUAGCCGAUGGGAAGCUUGCUUCUCAGUGGCGCAGCUAACGCAUUAAGCAUCCCG